GCCUGGGUGGCUCAGCCGGUGGAGCGUCCGACUUCAACUCAGGUCAUGAUCUCACAGCUCGUGAGUUCGAGCCCCACGUCAGGCU
This 85-nucleotide transfer RNA is filed under the name Felis catus (domestic cat). It matches the Rfam family "tRNA". From Rfam's summary of the family: Transfer RNA (tRNA) molecules are approximately 80 nucleotides in length. Their secondary structure includes four short double-helical elements and three loops (D, anti-codon, and T loops). The record is from Rfam by way of RNAcentral. Lineage: Eukaryota; Metazoa; Chordata; Mammalia; Carnivora; Felidae.